RNAcentral lists this ribosomal RNA (491 nucleotides) under uncultured bacterium. RNAcentral's name for it is "partial 16S ribosomal RNA". It matches the Rfam family "Bacterial small subunit ribosomal RNA", at positions 29 to 507 of the family's 1533-position model. The record is from RNAcentral.
GUGAACGCUGGCGGUAGGCCUAACACAUGCAAGUCGAACGGCAGCACAGUAAGAGCUUGCUCUUACGGGUGGCGAGUGGCGGACGGGUGAGGAAUACAUCGGAAUCUACUUUUUCGUGGGGGAUAACGUAGGGAAACUUACGCUAAUACCGCAUACGACCUACGGGUGAAAGCAGGGGAUCUUCGGACCUUGCGCGAUUGAAUGAGCCGAUGUCGGAUUAGCUAGUUGGCGGGGUAAAGGCCCACCAAGGCGACGAUCCGUAGCUGGUCUGAGAGGAUGAUCAGCCACACUGGAACUGAGACACGGUCCAGACUCCUACGGGAGGCAGCAGUGGGGAAUAUUGGACAAUGGGCGCAAGCCUGAUCCAGCCAUACCGCGUGGGUGAAGAAGGCCUUCGGGUUGUAAAGCCCUUUUGUUGGGAAAGAAAAGCAGCAGGUUAAUACCCCGCUGUUCUGACGGUACCCAAAGAAUAAGCACCGGCUAACUUCAUG